GAUGAACGCUAGCGGCAGGCUUAAUACAUGCAAGUCGUGGGGCAGCAUGAGUAGCAAUACUUGAUGGCGACCGGCAAACGGGUGAGGAACACGUACACAACCUUCCUUCAAGCGGGGAAUAGCCCAGAGAAAUUUGGAUUAAUACCCCAUAAUAUAUUUGAUAAGGCAUCUUAUUAAAUAUUAAAGCUUCGGCACUUGAUGAUGGGUGUGCGGCUGAUUAGAUAGUUGGCGGGUAACGGCCCACCAAGUCUACGAUCAGUAGCUGAUGUGAGAGCAUGAUCAGCCACACGGGCACUGAGACGCGGGCCCGACUCCUACGGGAGGCAGCAGUAAGGAAUAUUGGACAAUGGACGAAAGUCUGAUCCAGCCAUGCCGCGUGAAGGAUUAAGGUCCUCUGGAUUGUAAACUUCUUUUAUAUGGGACGAAAAAAGGGCAAUUCUUGCUCACUUGACGGUACCAUAUGAAUAAGCACCGGCUAAACUCCGUG
RNAcentral lists this ribosomal RNA (487 nucleotides) under uncultured bacterium. RNAcentral's name for it is "bacterial SSU rRNA". It matches the Rfam family "Bacterial small subunit ribosomal RNA", at positions 28 to 507 of the family's 1533-position model. The record is from RNAcentral.